RNAcentral lists this long non-coding RNA (762 nucleotides) under Macaca mulatta (Rhesus monkey). Its description in RNAcentral is "lncRNA (ENSMMUG00000056121.1)". The record is from RNAcentral. Lineage: Eukaryota; Metazoa; Chordata; Mammalia; Primates; Cercopithecidae.
ACAUGCCUGGCUAGAGGGCGGCAGCAGGAAAGCAGAGAAGGCAUCCCUGCAGGUUGGCCCUGGAGCAGAGUGCUGGGUCCCAGCAAGGGACAAGUUAGUUAACUUAAAGUGGGGGCAUCCUCAAGGCAGUAAACUGGAGCCAAGUGGGUUAAAUCCUUCUUGCUGCUAUUAAGAGGAGGAGACAGGUUUCUGCAGAUUCUACAUUUUGGAGAGAAACAAAAAAGAAUGUCCCCAAGUCUCCUUUGCCCUGCGAUGCUGGGCCAGAUUGGCAAGGUCUCAAGAGAAGCACAACGGUGACCGACGCUGACGCUGCCCUUGGCUGAACUUCUGUUAAAUCCUUCGGAUAGACGCUGGAAUCCACUUUGGUCUGUGGUUCGACACCCGUGCAACGUGUUGAGGAGGAGCCACCUCCUCCAAGUACCGAAAGCCGGCCCAGAAAUGCCUUCCAAUCCCUCGGUAUCGCGGCUCCCGGGAUCCGAUGCUGGGGAGCUGCUUCUGUCCAAUCAGGCUUUGCAUCCCGGGACGCUUCCGGUUAUGGCGUCAUUACGCAGCCUGUGGCGUCUCAUUCUAAAAGACGUGAUCGCGCGGAGGCUUGUGUGGUUCCCCGUUGGCCUAAUGGAUACAGCGUUGGACUUUUUUAGGGUUUGGGCUCUGGGUUCGAACCACGUUUGUGGUGGCGUAGCCUAGCUGCAGAAAGCUGAUCUUUUGAGAUCCAUUUUAAUAGAAGUAAUUUUUUUAAAAAAAGUUAUAACGUAAAAAACA